GGUCCUAUGGUCUAGUGAUGAGGAUAUUGGACUCUAAAUCCAGUAACCUGAAGUUUUGAUAGGACUU
RNAcentral lists this transfer RNA (67 nucleotides) under Phaseolus vulgaris (common bean). It matches the Rfam family "tRNA". From Rfam's summary of the family: Transfer RNA (tRNA) molecules are approximately 80 nucleotides in length. Their secondary structure includes four short double-helical elements and three loops (D, anti-codon, and T loops). Further hydrogen bonds mediate the characteristic L-shaped molecular structure. tRNAs have two regions of fundamental functional importance: the anti-codon, which is responsible for specific mRNA codon recognition, and the 3' end, to which the tRNAs corresponding amino acid is attached (by aminoacyl-tRNA synthetases). tRNAs cope with the degeneracy of the genetic code in two manners: having more than one tRNA (with a specific anti-codon) for a particular amino acid; and 'wobble' base-pairing, i.e. permitting non-standard base-pairing at the 3rd anti-codon position. The record is from Rfam by way of RNAcentral. Lineage: Eukaryota; Viridiplantae; Streptophyta; Magnoliopsida; Fabales; Fabaceae.